RNAcentral lists this ribosomal RNA (492 nucleotides) under uncultured bacterium. RNAcentral describes it as "partial 16S ribosomal RNA". It matches the Rfam family "Bacterial small subunit ribosomal RNA", at positions 29 to 507 of the family's 1533-position model. The record is from RNAcentral.
AGUGAACGCUGGCGGUAGGCCUAACACAUGCCAGUCGAACGGCAGCACAGUAAGAGCUUGCUCUUACGGGUGGCGAGUGGCGGACGGGUGAGGAAUACAUCGGAAUCUACUUUUUCGUGGGGGAUAACGUAGGGAAACUUACGCUAAUACCGCAUACGACCUACGGGUGAAAGCAGGGGAUCUUCGGACCUUGCGCGAUUGAAUGAGCCGAGGUCGGAUUAGCUAGUUGGCGGGGUAAAGGCCCACCAAGGCGACGAUCCGUAGCUGGUCUGAGAGGAUGAUCAGCCACACUGGAACUGAGACACGGUCCAGACUCCUACGGGAGGCAGCAGUGGGGAAUAUUGGACAAUGGGCGCAAGCCUGAUCCAGCCAUACCGCGUGGGUGAAGAAGGCCUUCGGGUUGUAAAGCCCUUUUGUUGGGAAAGAAAAGCAGCAGGUUAAUACCCCGCUGUUCUGACGGUACCCAAAGAAUAAGCACCGGCUAACUUCGUG